This 543-nucleotide long non-coding RNA is filed under the name Sinocyclocheilus grahami. Its description in RNAcentral is "lncRNA (ENSSGRG00000046956.1)". The record is from RNAcentral. Lineage: Eukaryota; Metazoa; Chordata; Actinopteri; Cypriniformes; Cyprinidae.
AAUCAAUACACUAGAAAUGAGCAGCGCAAGGUCUUCUUGGUUUCCCAGUGGACUAAUGUGGAUUAAUUCAAACACAUGAAGGUCCACCAAGGAAAAGAAGGGAAGAGCUCUCCGACAAAUCAAUGCAAUCUCUCAGUCUUCUGUCUUGGAUGAUGUAGGAAUUGAUGAUGCUCAAGUCCUUACUUUGACCAGAGAAGAUCUGAAUGAGCUUUUUCCAGGUAUUAAGAACUUCCAGCUCAGAAGGACCAUUGUGGUGCUUAUCACGGACACAGUGAAGAUGAUGCCGCUGUACAGGAUGUUUUGAAGGAAUCCCUUCGAGCUUUUAGAUUAGUGGAGGAUCAGCUCAAAACAGCACAGGCAUCUUUGAAACCGUACAUUGAGGUCUUGAACAGUUUCACUGAGGCAUCAGCUAGACAAGAGGACUGGGAUACAGAGGGAACGUCAAGCAGGAGAAAAUUUCCAAGCUCAUUCCAAAAAGAUAUGACCUCUCCAACCAUAGACUACUUUUGGUGAGUAAGAGUUAGAGUACAUGCCCUUUCAUCC